Molecule: ribosomal RNA, 253 nt
Filed under: uncultured bacterium
Lineage: Bacteria
Description: partial 16S ribosomal RNA
Rfam family: Bacterial small subunit ribosomal RNA
Source: RNAcentral
UACGAAGGGGGCUAGCGUUGUUCGGAAUUACUGGGCGUAAAGCGCACGUAGGCGGAUAUUUAAGUCAGGGGUGAAAUCCCGGGGCUCAACCCCGGAACUGCCUUUGAUACUGGGUAUCUCGAGUCCGAGAGAGGUGAGUGGAAUUCCGAGUGUAGAGGUGAAAUUCGUAGAUAUUCGCAAGAACACCAGUGGCGAAGGCGGCUCACUGGCCCGGUACUGACGCUGAGGUGCGAAAGCGUGGGGAGCGAACAGG